UACGGACGGGGCAAGCGUUGUUCGGAAUCAUUGGGCGUAAAGGGCGCGUAGGUGGUCCUGUAUGUCUACCGUGAAAGCAUACAGCUCAACUGUAUUUUGUCGGUAGAAACUGCAGGACUUGAGGCUGGGAGGGGCUGGUGGAAUUCCCUGUGUAGCGGUGAAAUGCGUAGAGAUGGGGGAGAACACUCGUGGCGAAGGCGGCCAGCUAGACCAGUUCUGACACUGAGGCGCGACAGCGUGGGGAGCAAACAGG
RNAcentral lists this ribosomal RNA (253 nucleotides) under uncultured bacterium. RNAcentral's name for it is "partial 16S ribosomal RNA". It matches the Rfam family "Bacterial small subunit ribosomal RNA", at positions 524 to 776 of the family's 1533-position model. The record is from RNAcentral.